This 411-nucleotide ribosomal RNA is filed under the name uncultured bacterium. RNAcentral's name for it is "bacterial SSU rRNA". It matches the Rfam family "Bacterial small subunit ribosomal RNA", at positions 32 to 458 of the family's 1533-position model. The record is from RNAcentral.
AACGCUGCGGCGUCCUAACACAUGCAAGCCGCACGUCCUUGGUUUUCGGACCGAGGGAGUGGCGGACGGGUGAGUAACACGUGGGCAACCUACCUUGGAGUGAGGGAUACCGGCGAGAAAUCGCCGACAAUUCCGCAUAGGCUUGUGCAAGCAAGCAAAGCCGUAAGGCGCUCAAAGAUGGGCCCGCGUCCGAUUAGCUCGUUGGUGGGGUAAUGGCCUACCAAGGCGACGAUCGGUAGCUGGUCUGAGAGGAUGAUCAGCCACACUGGGAUUGAGAACGGCCCAGACUCCUACGGGAGGCAGCAGUGAGGAAUUUUCGGCAAUGGGCUGCAAGCCUGACCGAGCAACGCCGCGUGCAGGAGGAAGGUCUUCGGAUCGUAAACUGCUUUUACUGGGGAAGAGAACGGACGG